Schistocerca nitens (vagrant locust) is the source of this 1809-nucleotide long non-coding RNA. RefSeq lists it as uncharacterized. NCBI's taxonomy places the organism in Eukaryota, Metazoa, Arthropoda, Insecta, Orthoptera, Acrididae. The transcript has 3 exons. The record is from RefSeq and is a predicted model, not a curated record.
GUUUCGAUCAGCUGUUGUAUGCUGUUAGUUGUUGCGCUUUUGUACUCCUCUCUCCACGAAUAUUUAUAAGGUUUCUGAGAAUGGCAUUCCCCCAGAAAAGUCUAACUGAUAAGGAAGUAUUACAGCUGCUGCAGAUUCUAGAUGGUGAUAUUUCAGAGUUUAGCUUUUCGUCAGAUGAAGAAAAUAAUGAGUCAUACUUUAUCCAGCAAGAGUCCGACAGUGUCCCAGAAUAUCCACAAAGUAAUCAUAUUGAAAUACACAUGCAAGGGAAGGAUUACACUAUUGAACAUGAGGACAUCUAUAAACCGCAAGCAACAAACAUAGAAAGUAAUGGUGUACAACAUUCCACGAAUAAGGAAGCACCUCAACCUGCAAAAAAGAAGAAAAAAAACUGUUCAUGGAAGAAAGGUGAUUUCGUUCUGCCAGAUACCAUGAGGAAAGACAACAUACUUCCACCACCAUCUGAUGAAGACCUAACUCCAAUGAAUUCUUUUCAGAUUUUCGUUGAUGAUGAAAUAUGCGAAUCCAUUGCCCUUGAAACAAAUCAUUACACACACAUCAAAGAUGGGGUUGUCAUUGAUGUUUCUUGCAAUGAAAUAAUGUAUUGAUAUUUUACUAUUUGUGAGUGCAGUUACAAUGCCACAAUAUAAAAUGUACUGGUCACAACAGUGUCGCUUUCCUCCAAUUGCAGAUGUUAUGAGUAGGAAUAGAUUUGGAACUAUAAGGUCAACAUGUUGCAACUUCCUCCACAAGAGAAACAGAGCAUUGAUGAACAGAUGAUCUCUUUCAAGGGGAGAAGUUCUUUAGUUCAGCACCUCAAAAACAAACCUCAUAAAUAAGGAUAUAAAGUGUUUAUUCGAGCUGGAGUAUCAGGCCUAAUAUAUGACUUUGCAAUUUAUGUCGGUAAAGGCACAUGUGAUGAGCAUGGUUUAGGAGUUUCAGGAGAUAUUGUUCUGAUGCUGUGUGAAGAUUUACCAGAGGGCAAGAACUACAAGAUAUUUUUUGAUAAUUAGUUCAGCUAUUUAGACCUUUUAGAUGUUUCCAAACAGAAAGGUAUUUUAUGUGUUGCGGCUAUUCCUUCAGACAGAAUGUCACUCAGCCCUGUAGCAGAAGAAAAGGAGCUGGAAAAGAAAGGAAGAGGAGCACUGGAUUCUAGUACUGAUGAAUCAUCCAACAUCAUAGCAGUAAGGUGGUAUGACAAUAAAGUUGUGCAACUUGUUUCCACAUAUGCAGGUAUAAAUCCACAGGAUAAAUGAAAGAGGUGGAGUAAAAAGGAUAAUCAGUCAAUUCAGGUAACUCGACCACUGAUUGUGAAGGAAUAUAAUGAACACAUGGGAGGAGUGGAUUUUACAGACAUUCUCAUAGAACUUUAUAGUAUAAAUGUCCAUUCCAAAAAGUGGUUGUAAAUUCAUGGUUGCUUUACAGACGUCAUUUGAAUCAGUGAGGUGCAACAGCUCAUCUUUCCCUUCUGGAUUUCCACACUCAUAAUGCUUCUGGUCUUACUAUGGCAGGAAAUGUUGUUCAUUGCAAAAGAGGAAGACCAUCUACAGAAGAUAUACAAGCUCCAAAGAAGAGGUUGGUAGCCUCCAGGCGUAUUGUAGAUGUCAGAUAUGAUGAAGUUGGUCACUGGCCACAACAGAGCCACCAGAAAGGCCGUUGCAAGCUCUGCCCUAAAUGAUUCAGCAGAGUCUCGUGCAUUAAAUGUAAAAUGUUUCUAUGUCUAACAAGUGAAAAAAAUUGCUUUAUGUCUUUCCACACCAAGUAAUAAAUAAAGUAUUCUGUAACUUACCUUGACGACAUGUUUAUAUU